RNAcentral lists this ribosomal RNA (1231 nucleotides) under metagenome. RNAcentral's name for it is "bacterial LSU rRNA". It matches the Rfam family "Bacterial large subunit ribosomal RNA", at positions 1574 to 2816 of the family's 2925-position model. The record is from RNAcentral.
CCGCUAAGGCGUCGAAGUAGUGUAUGUCAUACUUCCAAGAAAAGCUUGCACUGUCAUAGAUAAAAAACGCCUGUACCAUAACCGACACAGGUGGGUAGGUAGAGUAUACUAAGGGGCGCGAGAUAACUCUCUCUAAGGAACUCGGCAAAAUAACUCCGUAACUUCGGGAGAAGGAGUGCCUUAUUCGUAAGGUUGCAAUAACAAGAUCCAAGCAACUGUUUAUCAAAAACACAGGUCUCCGCUAAGUCGUAAGACGAUGUAUGGGGGCUGACGCCGCCCAGUGCCAGAAGGUUAAAGAAGUUGGUUAGCAAUUGCGAAGCUGAUAACUGAAGCCCUGGUGAACGGCGGCCGUAACGAUAACGGUCCUAAGGUAGCGAAAUUCCUUGUCGGGUAAGUUCCGACCCGCACGAAAGGCGUAAUGAUUUGGAUACUGUCUCGGAGAGGGGCUCGGUGAAAUAGACUUGUCUGUGAAGAUGCGGACUACCUGCACCAGGACAGAAAGACCCUAUGAAGCUUUACUGUAACUUGAAAUUGAAAUUGGACUUUAUUCGCGCAGUAUAGGUGGGAGGCGUUGAUUAUAAUCUUGUGGGAUUAUUGGAGCCAUCAGUGAGAUACCACUCUUGUAAUGUUAGAUUUCUAACUUUGAAUCAUUAUCUGGUCAAAGAACAGUUUCAGGCGGGCAGUUUGACUGGGGCGGUCGCCUCCUAAGCAGUAACGGAGGCGUACAAAGGUUUCCUCUGAACGGUUAGAAAUCGUAUCUAGAGUGUAAAGGCAUAAGGAAGCUUGACUGUGAGACCUACAAGUCGAGCAGGGACGAAAGUCGGUCUUAGUGAUCUGACGGUACUGAGUGGAAAGGCCGUCACUCAACGGAUAAAAGUUACCCUAGGAUAACAGGCUGAUCUCCCCCAAGAGUUCACAUCGACGGGGAGGUUUGGCACCUCGAUGUCGGCUCAUCGCAUCCUGGGGCGGUAGCACGUCCCAAGGGUUGGGCUGUUCGCCCAUGAAAGCGGUACGCGAGCUGGUUUCAGAACGUCGUGAGACAGUUCGGUCCAUAUCCGGUGUAGGCGUUAGAAUAUUGAGAGGAGCCUUCUUUAGUACGAGAGGACCGAGAAGGACAUACCUCUGGUGUACCAGUUAUCGUGCCAACGGUAAACGCUGGGUAGCUAUGUAUGGAGUGGAUAACCGCUGAAAGCAUCUAAGUGGGAAGCCCACCUCAAGAUAAGUAUUCUCA